ACCUCAGGCAGACGUCAAGAUACAGUGACCCAGAGUCACUAAGGUGCCCUAAACUUAGAGCUACAAAGGCAGAAAUUCUUCCAAUGAACUGUCUGCCUAUGUGCUACCCACCCAUGAGCUUCAUUUUCUAAAAUGUGGUGAAAACCAUUUGUUCGUGCAAAAUACAAGCACUUUACUGCCAUUCAACAGAAAGAUGGCAGAGUUCCAUUACUGAAGAUCAGUGCUGCCCCUCCAGCACUCCAUGCUGAGUUACCUGACUGCUAUACAGAACAAGCUGUGUAUUUUCCAUGUACAACAAAAUUGCACUAUCAAAUAGAUAUACAGGGAAGAGAAAUGAAAGAAAAUGAAAGAAAUUCAUUUAUCCAGAAUCAUACAAUACCACGCUGUUGUAAUAUAAAAAUUUGCAAUGAAAUGUUUGAGGGAGACAGUCAUGAGAGAAGUCUUUUGUAUAUGAUAUUCAAGCUUUUAGCUUACUGGGCAUAAUUUCACUGCCUGCAUAAAUCCCUUUUACCACUGCAUCUGUCCUGUAAACACGUCCGGACAGUGCCUUAGCUUAUUAACAGCAAGAUUCUUCCCUCCAGCAUAGAUGACGUGGUUAGAAACAUCUGCUUUUGAAGUUAUACAAUCCUAUAGAAAAAGUUCACAUGAUUCUUUGCAGUCAAGCUGUUUAACAGUAUUAAAGUAACUUAAUUUUCUUUGGCCCGCAUCCCUACCUAAGACUGUUCAUGUUUAAACAUUAUGAACUGCAAAUACCUCUGCUCACCUCAAUGACAAUUUGCACAAUUCGUUUUAUGAACUGUGAGAAAAGUAGGACCUCAUUUGGGAAAUUGUAUGGAGGCAUGGAAAAAGGAUGGAACUUGACAAACAUGGAAUAACCAGCAGGUGUGGGGGGAGAGGGGAGUAGGAUUUCAUCCUUAAGCUUGUCUGAAUGCAGAAGAGCAUACAACCUGAUACUUCUGUAAUAUUUUCACUGUGGAAAAAAAAAGGACAAGGGAGUAAAAGGAGCUCAUUAAAAGCAUGAUAAUGGUCUUCCAAUGCUGUUCGUGUUUCGUUCGUCCCAUCCCUGGAGGCACUGAAGGCCAGAUAGGAUGGGACCCUGGGCAGCUGAUCUGGGGGGUGGCAGCCCUGACAAUGGCACAGGGUUGGAAAUGGAUGGGCUUUAUGGUCCCUUCCAACCCAGACAGUUCUGUGAUUCUAUGAUUUAUAAGACUACUUCUCUUUAGGGUAAAAGUAUAUAAUAACUGAAUCUCAGAUUUUCAAUUACAUUAGGAAGAAAGGAUCAUAUAACUAUGACACCUAAAAAAUCCAGAGUUUGUUGCAACAAACAGCCACCAAACAGAUACCAACCAAAAGCUCCACAGAGACUGUACUACAGCUGAAAUUGAAUAAACCUAGACAAUCAAUUAAGAUGAUUGAGUAGAAACCAAAUUCAGUGAACUGUCUAAUUGAAGAGGGAAAGAAAGAAUUCACAUUGAACUUGAAUCUUACCCGGCAUCUUAUGAAUCCAUCCUGAUAAAGCCAGAUUUGAUCAUCUGAAUCUACAUCUUCUGCAGCCUGUAUUCUGAGAAGAUUCAAAUUGUCCAAGUUUCCAUCAGUUGACAUGAACUUUCCUGUUUCCUUGUUCCGAAGCCUGAAGUACACACGUUUCUGUAGUAAAAAAAUACAAUAAAAUAGAAAGUGCCAACAACAACAGAACUCUAACCACUCUAGUGCUCAACAUACCCUGCUCUGGCAAACUUCAGAGCAGUCACUACUUAGUGUUGAACCUGGUGCAUUUCUUUCUUUCAGAAAUCUUGCUUUUCUGUUUUAGAAUUGAAUUACAAAGUCCCUACCUGUGUAGGAUGAUUCAAGCUUUCAGAACCUGCCAUUCUGCAUGGAGACCUAGUAUUAGGCUUGCCUGUGCACUGGGAUCAGCACACAGUGGGAUGCUAAGAAUGCGGAAUUAGGAACAGCAGCAAAUUUCUGCUGCUGUGGAAGUGUAGAUGCUCCCAGUCUUCACAAAGGGUGCACUUGUGCAGUGCUGCUUAUUUUGCUGGCACCAAGUGUUACACUUCGCAUUCAUGCUGUGGCUUGUUUCACAUUCACACUUCUGUUUAGACAAGCUCUUGGCCAGGGCAGUCAAAAUCCAUUAUUCCUAGCUCUGCUUAAGGCUACACAAAGACAGCUCCAUGACAGUAAACAUUUGUUACCACUGCAAGUAAUCUGUGAGUAACAGAAAGUUGCUUCCUCAAUAAAAUACAGCUCAGCAAGAACUUCAAAGGCUCAGGGGAUUGCUGCAGCAUUUGGACCAAAUUACAAGGUCCCUAUUUGAGAGGACAAAACAAAAAGGACAAUAUGGGAAGUUUUACAUUAGAUUUCCAAAUUAUUUUUCUAUGUAUGUAGUAAGCAAGGAAGGAUUCUUCAUCCCCUCAGUCAGCACAGUAUCACUCCUAUUUGAAAUGAUCCCAUUUUGUGGACCAAUUUUUUUUGUUGUUGUUCCAAAAAUAAUGUAGAUAGUGCUGACAGUAUACCAGUGAGCAGUUUAGGAGCUAGUGAUAAGACUUAUCUAGAUAUUUAUAUCCAUUAGUUGUUAAAAUUGUUCACCAAUCUUUAUGUAUCGUCUUCGGUACUUUCAUUUAAAGUAUGCAAAUGAACAGUUUAGGCAGCAGUAACUCAAAACCACGUAGCAUAAUCAAAUAGCAUUUCUUACAGUGAAUCUGUAGAGCAAUUUCUUCACACAACUGUCAUCGCUGAAGCUUGUGACGUGCAGCAAGAUUUUAACAUUGCUUUCAGCUGUAUAAUACUGCCUCAUCCCAUAACUAAAUAAAUCAGUACUUCACAACCUCGCAUCAGCUACUCACCUGCAGCAAAGGUCUCAGAGAACCUAUCUGACAGCAGCCACUCAGUUUAUACCAAUCUGGAAUUUCAUUUGGUGACAGCAACAUCUGACGUCCCCUGUAAUUACUAUGUUCAUAAAUUAUCCAUCUAUGGGGGAAAAAUGAAAGAAAGAAAAAAAAUAAUGCUUUUGCUGCCAAAUUCUGCUUUAGAAUAAUAAUAAUAAAAACAAAAAACAAACAAAAAAACCGAAGAGAUUUAACAGAAACAUAUCCCAGAGAACAGCAGUGGUAAGUAUUUAAGCCAAUAGCCGAUAGCAUGGGGAUUCUUCCUAAUGGGUCUUCAAAAUAAUAAAAUCAUGUUAUUAUUUGGUCAACAGAAUAGGAGUAUGCUGGAUUUCACAUUUUGGAGUCAUUUCAAAAUUACAAGUUGAAUAAAUCAGUGAGCUAAGGAAAUCCCUUGACCCGUUUAUCCAGAUGGGGGAAAAAAAUAAUAAUUUUAUUGCCUUAAAUUUAGGGAGAAUCCUAUUUUUAAGUAUAAUCUGUCUUCAGAUAGCACUUGGACUCCUAAAGGAGCACAUACAUAUGUGCUACAUAAGCAGUGUGUGCUAGAUUGCCAAAGCAGUAGUGCUGUGUAUGUUAACUUGGACAGGCCUGAUGUAUGUGGGCAAGAUCUGCUAAGGAAACAGCGCAGCAGGCUCUGCAACAGAGCAAAAUGAUCUAGAAUAGUUUGGUAGAGGUUUUAUUUCAGAACAUCUUUCUUCUUUCCAAAUUACCUGAGAAUGGAAAGAAAAAAAAAAAGAAAAAAGCAAAAAAAAAAGAAAAAUAGCAUACAGAAAAAUGUGUAGCUUUCCCUAGAACCUGUCCAAACGUGCUUGCACAGUCACAUUCAGAGCAACCCGUCAAACCUGACAUCUGCAUCUUUACCAUUAGUCCAGAUAGAGGAACACAACUGGAUACUGAAAUAGGCUGCAACACAGCAAAAUCUGAUCAGUUUUCUCACACAGAUUGCCAUGGGCAAAUUUCCAGUACAUGAACACUCAGUAGAAACAUUUUCCUAUUACCUUUUUUUCCUCUGAUUUGUCAGUGGGCUUAAUAUAUCCAGAAGCAGCACACUCACCUUAACAUUGGAGCUUUCCCAUAGCCUAUUACACAUCCACCCCCAGACAUGGAAUUAAGAGAAUUAUAAAUGGAUCUCUCUUAGUCAUAGAAGAGAGAAGACAAAAAAAAAAAAACAACCAAAAACCAACCAAAAACAAAAAAACAAAAAACAAAACACCCUUCAAUGGGGCAGACAGUAUGGAGAAGGGUGCUAAAAAAAACAGAUAACCUCCAGUGGUCCUUCCAUCCUAAACCAUUCUGUGACCCUGACCAGGAACUAGCCCAGCAGCUGAUGCUGCUAUAAUGAAAUCAGAGUUUUCAUACCAUAAUCUAUAUCUUCCCAGUGAACAACCAAAAAAGAUUUGUAUGUUUAUUGGACAGAACAUGGAUGACUCCCGACUCCAUUAUCUGGAAUCAUAGUAACCAUGUUCUUGGCAAAGAAACAACCCAAUGUUUGACUUCAUUAUUUCUCCUUAUGGGGAGUGUAAAUCAACUCUAUUGUGGUUAUGGUGAGAGAUACAGAGAUCUCAGGAUAAUCAAAAAUAAAGAGCAUGCAUCUUCUGCACAGCUUUUCUCAUGACCUAUAUAUUUUAAACUUCAGUCCAGUGAGCUAAGGAUAUCCCUUGACCUGUUCCUCCAGAUGGGGAAAAUGGUUUGUACUUAAGACCAGGUAUUAAUUAUCCACUUGAGGGCAAUACUGAGCUAUCCAACAGCAUCUCUUGCACACAUGCUUGGGAAUUUACCUCUUCAAAAGAACACAUUUAAACGCAAAGGAACAGUAAAAAAGAAGUGCGAUUCUUCAAGGUAGAAAACCUUGAGGCAAGCAUCUUGGUGGUAAAAAUUAGCUCCAGGAAAAGCACAAGAAGAGAAAUUUAACAGAUCUGUUGAGAUAUUGAAAGUUUUUAAACAUCAGAGGCUAUUUUUUUUUUUUUAAACAAUCUUCUUAAGAAUAGGGAAUACAACAGCUGAAAAAUAGUUAAUGAAUUUAACUGAUAGAUCUAUAAUGAGUCUGACUCAAUUCCUGAAAUCAAAGAGGUUAUUACAAGUAAUAUGCUACCAAAAAAGGCCAUAUCACGAUCUCAUUAUAUCAGUGUCCAUAACACCAAGGUAAAAGAACAAAUACAAAGCUUAUCAAAAUAUUCUGAACUUAAGAUACAGGACACAGAUCACAAACUGUAUGAUUGGUUAUGAUCAGGACCUGAAGCAAAAGCACAGCAGUUAGAUUUAACAUUGCUAUGCAAGCUAGCUUCUGUAAUAUUAGCAGGAGAGUUGGGACCCACUUCCUAAUGAGCUUUGUUUAAAUACAUUUCAACUUCUUAGGAAAGUAAAGGGCACCUCUUUGUGAGUCAGUGAUAAUGUAGUGGAAUCAGGAUAAAAGUAAGUUUCUGUAAGUAUAAUGUGCAUUAAUACAAUAUAUGGCAUUCCAAUUUUAUUCUCCUUAGUUUCUACCACCUGUUUUUUGUUUUGUGUGUGUGUGUGUGUUUUUUUUCCCCUUCUGUUGAAUAAAUACAUAAUUCUAAAGAUGCAAGAAGCAAAUUUAAACUCACGUGCCACCAAGGACUUGAACUGAAGCUAUUCGAGGAUUAUAUCCCAGGAACUGGAGAUUUAAGACUUCUGUAGUGAAUUCUAUUUUUCUUCCUUGGAAACCCACCUUUUCAAAAAGAGCUAUGCAUGGCUCAGACAGCUCCUGCAAAAAGAAGAUGAACACUUUCAUAGGAAUUUAAAAGCCAAAAUGCUGACUGUGAACAUCAUUACUUCAUGCAACCCUUUUAUAUCAGCAUUUUCAGAUUGUUUCAACUCAAAGACCCUGAAAAAGGUUUUUGCUUUGCAAUAGGAUACUUGAAAGAAACAAAUGAAAAUGUCAUUAAAAGCCCUUAGAGAAAGCACACAGGGGGUCUUCUUGUAUGCAACAUCAUACUUCCUUAUCAUAAGGCACACAAAAAUCUGUGGACAAUUCUUGCAUAUCUUAAUUAUAUUUUAAAACACAUUCUAAUUAAUGCCACAUCCCUCUUCCGUUGCACUAACCCCCAUUCACUGUAGGAAUUUUCAUUUUCAGAUCUCAACACACAGAUAAUACUGGUUUCUACAGCUUUAAAUUAUGAUAGUCUUGUCAGCACUGCUUAUUCCUCACAGCUUUCAUUUUUUAGCUUCUGUAGUAGGCUAUGAUAGUAUCACCAGACAAGUGUCAAGAUUCAUACUUCUGAGGUAAAAGUCAUGACUCAGGCUAAAACUAACAUCUGAAUUUUCCAAAUGGCUCUGGGGAGAUGAUUCUUCAUUCCCUUUGUCAAAAUGUUUCUGGUUUGAAGGGUUCCUACCCACGCAGAAUCCCCUGCAUCACUGAAUCUACUUUAAAUACUUUCUGGAUAACGAGCCUUGGAUUCUUUACUGUGCGGCAGGUAGCUGUAGAGGAUUGGAAACAGUCUCUCACAAUUAUGACCCCUCCCUGGAAGCUGAGAGGUAAGAAGCCUCUGAAGAAGAAAGCACCAGCACAUAACAUGCAGACAGACACAGCUUAUUACCACGGUUUGAAGUGGGAUAAAUUGUAGGGCAAGAACAUUUUUCAGGAGCUUUAAGAACUUCAGGAAGCAAAGAACUGUCAUUUGGCUGUUUUAACACAGGAAUCUCUGUCUCAAAGAAUAAGUUUUUCGGGAGAAAAAUCCUACCCGUGUGAAAUAAGCCAAAGACCCAAGAGCUUGAUACUGUUAUGUACAGAAGAGCCUAUUUUAAUCCACGGUGACCGCCCACCAAGUUCAGCUAGAACAACUUCUCUUGUUUUUAAUGCCAUUUGUCUACAGGAUAGUCAAAGAGUUCAGAAGGCAGACAUACUUACUGCGAAUGUUUGUUUACAUUGUACCAGAGACAAUGCUCCAGAGACAUGAAAGAGGAUGACACAUUUUAGUUCUCCUUUGUCAACUGCUAUGUCACUAACAUGUUACCAAAAUUAUAGAGGACUGCAAUACAGUUGCCAGAUUCAAAGAGAAGAGUCAAUAAGGUACUCCUCCAUUUUUAGAAUGAGUACCACCUCUUUUGUAAAGUUGCAUUAAGUUCCUGGAUUCUUGACUACAUUUUGCCCGUAAUUACUUUGAUCUUAAGAGAUACCUGCAGUUUCCAUAAGUGAUCCAUCAUAAUGAUUGGUUACAGACUUGAACAAACUUGUUCCUGACCACUGAGGAGUUACAAAAUAUGUAGAUGUUGUUUAAGUUUGUAUCCAACACACAAAACAACAUUGCCUGAUUUUGCCAA
This is a long non-coding RNA of Gallus gallus (chicken), 7157 nucleotides long. RefSeq lists it as uncharacterized. The record is from RefSeq and is a predicted model, not a curated record. The transcript is spliced from 2 exons. Lineage: Eukaryota; Metazoa; Chordata; Aves; Galliformes; Phasianidae.